UGAUGUUGGUGUCGAUGCAAGCCAAGGGCCAAGAAGGGUUUCUCAUGAUGAUGAAAUGUUGAAGAAUUGAAGCAAAAUCCAGCCUUAAUUCUCUUGCAUGUGUAGAGAUUCUACAUCAAAAAGCUAUAUGAAACAUGUGGAACGUGUCAAGGAGAGCUCAAGCAUAGGAGGAUAACGGGUCAAGAUAAGGCAAGGUGACAAAUACACUUAUUGGAGUACUCAAGGUAAGUGAUUUCUAUAAUCACUUCUUUAGUUGUUUAAGUAAUAUAAUGUUUUAAUUAUUAAGUUCAUAUGAAGUUGAGGUCAAAUCAAUAGAUUAUUUUGAUAAAUGCACGAAUGGGUCGAAUAAUUCAUAGAUGAAUAACAAGCCGAAUACGUAUAAGUUAAGAAAUUCCUUAACUCGGAUGUUGGACUUCAAGAUCACAUGAUAGAAUAUUAAAUUACAAUCAUAUAGGAAGAAACGUGACGCAAAACGGAUGAAAAAUGAGAGAGUUAUGUCCGUUUCGGUAAGGAUUAAUGGCUAGGAAAAGUGCAGAGUUGACACGGCCGGGUGGUGAACUGACACGGCCGGGUGAAGGUUCUGUCAAAAAUAUUAUUUAUGUGAUUUAUGCGCCGUAGGCUUCGGUAUAUUAUCCGUGAACUACGACGGGCCUCCCAGACAUGAUUUCGAGUGUUCCCUUGACGAUUAUAAGUUGUAAACCCAAGUCUAAGCCUCAUGUAAUUUAUAUAAGAGUGUGAUAGAUGUAUGUAAUGAAGUUGGACAUGUAUUACAUGUAAAUGUAUACAAAAAUACGUACGGAACACGUAGAUAUGAAUACAUGAUUGUAGGUAUGAUUAAAUGUAUAUUAGGUAUGUAGAUGUGUAUGAUUGUAAGUUUGUAUGUGUGCAAGUAUGUGCGAAUGCAUGAUUUGGAUGCAUUUGAGAAUUAGCGUUACUAAUAAUGCCCUUGGGUUUGGAAUAUAAGUUAAUUGGAUGCAUUUAAAUGGUUGACGUCCUUUUUAUGAAGAUGUAGUAAAUGAAUAUGUUGAGAUUACGGGUUUGGCUAACCAAGUUAUUAUUGAGUAUGUUUGAAAGUGCAGGUUAUGAAUGUCGGACUUUCGAAGUGUUGAUAUAAUAAUGAAACGGUUGAAUGUUGAAAGGAUAAUCGGAUUGAAGUAACUUAUGCGGUUAGAAUAUGCUAUGGACGUUUUAGUUUAUACAACAUUUUAUGUUUGGUCGUCAUCAUCUACCAACGGGUUAGUUGUUUGAAAAUAUAUGUC
This 1259-nucleotide long non-coding RNA is filed under the name Helianthus annuus (common sunflower). Its description in RNAcentral is "hypothetical non coding rna". Lineage: Eukaryota; Viridiplantae; Streptophyta; Magnoliopsida; Asterales; Asteraceae. The record is from RNAcentral.